RNAcentral lists this unclassified non-coding RNA (511 nucleotides) under Hevea brasiliensis (rubber tree). Lineage: Eukaryota; Viridiplantae; Streptophyta; Magnoliopsida; Malpighiales; Euphorbiaceae. The record is from RNAcentral.
UUCUUCUAGCCUACAGCUCAGUUCCAAUAGUUCAAGUGGGUACAAUUAUCUCCAAGAUGGGAAAAAUGGGUGCCAAAUUUCAGGCUCGGCUCACAUGUCAGCAACAGCCUUGUUGCAAAAGGCAGCACAAAUGGGUGCAACUGCUAGUAACAGUAUCAACANNNNNNAUGAUGCAGAAGAGCUUUGCAAGUAGCAUGGCAGGUCCUGACCAGUUCUCUUCUAUAAGACCACCAUCUUAUGGUGUGGGACCACCUUAUAUGAUCACUUCCCAUCACAACCUGAACAAACAAGCAUGGUGGGAAUCAACGCUGGAGGAUUCAAUAAUAAUAAUCAGCCCUUGCAAAAAUGCCCACAAGAAAUGUCACAAUUUUUUGAAACUACUAUAGGUAGUUCAGGCAUGAACGAUAUGGGAAUGUUCAGUACUAUGUUCAUGGGCACCGAACAAAGCCCGGGGUUCAUGAAAAACAUGGAACAAGAAGAUAGUGGUAGUUCUAGCUUGAUACAUGGAAGA